GCGGACGUGGCGGAACUGGCUAUACGCGCAGCCUUGAGGUGGCUGUGGUCGCAAGACCGUGGAGGUUCGACUCCUCUCGUCCGCA
RNAcentral lists this transfer RNA (85 nucleotides) under Candidatus Yanofskybacteria bacterium RIFCSPLOWO2_01_FULL_49_17. RNAcentral's name for it is "tRNA-Leu". It matches the Rfam family "tRNA". Rfam says of the family: Transfer RNA (tRNA) molecules are approximately 80 nucleotides in length. Their secondary structure includes four short double-helical elements and three loops (D, anti-codon, and T loops). Lineage: Bacteria; Candidatus Yanofskyibacteriota. The record is from RNAcentral.